Acanthosepion pharaonis is the source of this 95-nucleotide non-coding RNA. The record is from the annotation of a GenBank genome assembly. NCBI's taxonomy places the organism in Eukaryota, Metazoa, Mollusca, Cephalopoda, Sepiida, Sepiidae.
GUUGAAACACCAGUUCCCAUACAAUAACAAAAGUUAAGCAACAUUGAGCCUGGUCAGUACCUAGAUGGUUGACUGCUUGGGAAUACGAGAUGCUA